UAAUUGGAUUGAGCGAAAAUCCGUCGAAUUUUAAAAUCGUGAGGGUUCAAGUCCCUCUAUCCCCA
This 65-nucleotide transfer RNA is filed under the name Gomphichis bogotensis. RNAcentral describes it as "partial transfer RNA-Leu". Lineage: Eukaryota; Viridiplantae; Streptophyta; Magnoliopsida; Asparagales; Orchidaceae. The record is from RNAcentral.